Molecule: ribosomal RNA, 449 nt
Filed under: uncultured bacterium
Lineage: Bacteria
Description: bacterial SSU rRNA
Rfam family: Bacterial small subunit ribosomal RNA
Source: RNAcentral
CGGUAUCCAAUCCGGAACUUGCACAGGUGUUGCAUGGCUGUCGUCAGUUCGUACCGUGAGGCGUACCCUUAAGUGGGUCAACGAACAUAACCCCUACUGUCAGUUGUAUCACUCUGACGGAACUGCCUCGGUAACGAGGAGGAAGGAGGGGAUGAAGUCAAGUCAGUAUUGCCCUUACGCUCUGGGCUAGAAGCAUGCUACAAUGGCCGGUACAGCGAGACGCGAAACCGCGAGGUGGAGCUAAUCUUUUAAAACCGGUCUCAGUUCGGAUUGGAGUCUGCAAUUCGACUCCAUGAAGUUGGAAUCGCUAGUAAUCGGCGGUCAGCUAUACGCCGGUGAAUACGUUCUCGGGUCUUGCACACACUGCCCGUCNNGCCAGCAAAGCUGGGGCCAACCGAAGUCUCAUUUAGUAUGGGCUCACGGUGGAAUCAGUGAUGAGGGUAAGUCGA